This 497-nucleotide ribosomal RNA is filed under the name uncultured bacterium. RNAcentral's name for it is "partial 16S ribosomal RNA". It matches the Rfam family "Bacterial small subunit ribosomal RNA", at positions 28 to 507 of the family's 1533-position model. The record is from RNAcentral.
GAUGAACGCUGGCGGCGUGCCUAAUACAUGCAAGUCGAGCGAACGGACGAGAAGCUUGCUUCUCUGAUGUUAGCGGCGGACGGGUGAGUAACACGUGGAUACCCUACCUAUAAGACUGGGAUAACUUCGGGAAACCGGAGCUAAUCCCGGAUAAUCUUUUGAACCGCAGUGUUCGAAAGUGAGAGACGGUCUUGCUGUCACUUAUAGCUGGAUCCGCGCUGCAUUAGCUGGUUGGUAGGGUAACGGCUUACCAAGGCAACGAUGCAUAGCCGACCUGCGAGGGUGAUAGGCCACACUGGAACUGAGACACGGUCCAGACUACUACGAGAGGCAGCAGUAGGGAAUCUUCCGCAAUGGGCGAGAGCCUGACGGAGCAACGCCGCGUGAGUGAUGAAGGUCUUCGGAUCGUAAAACUCUGUUAUUAGGGAAGAACAGAUGUGUAAGGAACUGUGCACAUCUUGACGGUACCUAAUAAGAAAGCCACGGCUAACUACGUG